RNAcentral lists this long non-coding RNA (7215 nucleotides) under Phoenix dactylifera (date palm). Its description in RNAcentral is "long non-coding RNA (PDAC_LNC006480)". Lineage: Eukaryota; Viridiplantae; Streptophyta; Magnoliopsida; Arecales; Arecaceae. The record is from RNAcentral.
GCAUUUUAUUUUUAUGUAGAGCUUUAUUUGUGUUAUUUUAGGGCUUUAUUUGGAAUUAUUUUUUGUGUAAGGGGUUUAUGUUAAUUAUUCUUGUUUAGGCCCUAUAUAUAGGGGACUUUUAUCAUGAUUAGGGUUUCAAUGAAGUGAAUUAAAAAUUCUUCCCCCAUGUCUCUUCUCCUCUCUCUUUUCCAUCUCCUUCUCUUCCUCCCUUCUUCCCUCCUUUCCCCCUUGCUCUCUUCUUCUCCUCUUUUCUUCCUUCCCCUUUCUCCUAUUUUCUCUGACCUGUCGCCAUAGCAACCGUUCACGCCUCAGUUCUGCCUCAACUUGUCACCACAGCAACCGUACACGUCUCAGUUCUGCAUCAACUAGGCGCCACAGCACCCCUUUCCCGUCUCGGUUCGUCAUCAACUUGGUAUCAGAGCCGUGCUUUGCCUCUGUGCCAAAGCAACAUACCCUGAUGCAUGGCAGAGCAGCCCCCGAUCCCGCGUAUCAGGCUGUCGCACGAGUUCUUCCCCGUACACCUCACUCCGCGAACGCCGGAGCAUGUUGAAGGGCCAUGCACAACUUGCGUUGCCAAAAGGAGAGAAGCAUCACCUCUCUUCUCGCAUCACUGUCACUGAGCCCCAACGAGAACAGCCACCGAUGGUCUCAGGUCCACCAUAGCAGCCGUCGGCAUCAACAGGGAAGGAGCCCCCAGAUCCACCGUAGCAGCCACCAGUGUUCGACGGCCGCUGCUCCCGAAGCUGGUGACCGGUCGCCGACUGCCACCACAAGUCACGGAGCUCCGCCGCAACCGCCGACGCGGAUCUCGGCACGGCCUCCCGAAACCGUCGGGAGCUUUCAGUCCGCUAACGGGUCAGGCAUAGACCCGUGAAUUUUUUUAGCAACCCGGAUUCAUUCCAGAGGAAAAAAACUCCGUAGGGUCACGUGAUCUGCAUGUGAUUCCCGCACGUGCGAAGCCGCACGUGCUUCCACGUUAAAAAGAAACUGCUUACCUCUGCUCCCGAUGAAGAGGAAACCCCAGAGGGUGUCCGCCGCUGCUGCCGCCAUCGAUGCACCACCGCCCACGCGUCGCCGCUCGCCGCUCUCCUUCGCGCCCACCGACAUCGUGUCGCUUCCGCACCGGUCCCUCUCCGCCUCCCCUUUCGCCGCACCUGCCAUCACCCCUUCGCCCCUUCCGCUCGCCACCCUUCCUCCGGUUGUCGCCUCCCUCGCCCCAUCCGUCCCUCUCCGACUCCACAGACCACACCACAGAAACCCACUUCUCUCUCUCAUCUCAGGGAUUCCAAACCCAUUCCAACCCCCCCCCCCCAUCGAGUGGCCACUCCACUCCCCUCACCCCUUUCUCUUUCCGGGUCUGAGUCUCAAACCCAAACCCGCAGCCCGCCUCCGCAUCCACGGUAGCCCGGUCCGUGCGCCAGCCUCCUUGAGCGCGGCCCAGGCCCAAGCGGCCGCAGGAUCGGGCUUGGUCCAGGCCCGCGCGCACGCUUCUUUGAGCGUGGCCCAGGCCCAAGCGGCCGCAAACCCUUUCUCAGGCCCGAGCCAGGAUCUUGUUCAGCCCAAUCCAGGAGCCCGAGAGCCCCGUUCUGCCACAAAUCUGGACCAUAGCUCCAGUUAUCUCCCUGCACAGUGCCUGUCAUCCUCUUUGCACUCGAGACUCCACAACGGAUGCUUCCGGUUGACUGCAUCCACAAUAGGUAAUAGGUUCUUCCUUCUUUUGGGCUUGUUUAUCUAAUUGUGCUCUAGUUCUCUUACAUGAUAGCCCCAUUUUGAAAAUUUACUUUACUGUCAAACUUCAAAACCUAGAACAUCUACUACAUCCUCUUCACCAUUUAAAUCUAGAUAUUAAAUUAGCACACCCUAGCGACAAAAUAUUUCUCAACAUCCAUCGAUCGGGUUACUUUAGGAUUAGAACGACUGUAGUACGUGCUUGCAACCUAACUUCUUAUAGUGAUUAAUUUUAUACUUUAAUUCCGAAGUAACUGAAGUACAAAUCGGUAACAUUUAUUUUUAAGUUACUUUUGUGAAAAUUUGCUGAUUUCCGAAUUCAUAGUAGGUUGCAUUAGUAGGUUGUUUUGCAUCACAUUUGGUCAGUUAGAGUUCACUAGUAACAUUGCAUUUCACAUCAUCAACUAGUGUUAGCAUUGCAUGCUAACCCAUAGCGGUAGGGAGUACUAUCUCGCUUAACCUAAAACCCCUUUAGCUACCAUGCAUUCCAAGGCUCUACAAGAUCUCAUGGAACGAUUCGCUGCCUUGCAAGCUGACCAUGAAGAAUUCAAGCGAGAGGUCCGUGCACUAGUGCAACAAUUAGGACUCCUGAACUGCCAACCCCAAUCGCAGCCUAUCCUGAGUUCGGUUUGGCCGCACCACCUGUAGGUCUUUCCCAUCCCCCCAGAAACCAACAUCCUCCUGAUUACCAGCGUGAUCUUGACGAACGGCUACUGCGUACCGUAAGAGUAUAUGCCCCCACCUUUGCUAGUCAACUAGAGCCAAGCGUGUAUCUUGAUUGGANNNNNNNNNNNNNNNNNNNNNNNNNNNNNNNNNNNNNNNNNNNNNNNNNNNNNNNNNNNNNNNNNNNNNNNNNNNNNNNNNNNNNNNNNNNNNNNNNNNNNNNNNNNNNNNNNNNNNNNNNNNNNNNNNNNNNNNNNNNNNNNNNNNNNNGUACAAGCUCAUUGGUACUGGCAUAAUAUUGAACGUAUGCGUGAGACCCAAAGGCUUUCUCGUAUCACCACAUGGGAGGAUAUGAAGAAAAAGCUGAAUGAGAAGUAUCUGUCAUUCUCUUACUGACAAUGCCUUAUGGAUAGGUGGUAGAAACUAAAUCAAGGGAUAAUAACCGUUGCUGAUUACAUUGCACGAUUUGAGGAGUUUCAUAUGAGGUGCGGUGUAAUUGAAGAGGAGACUGUUACUAUCUUUAGGUUUCGGGCAGGACUCCGUGAGGAGAUCCAGAAAGAAUUAAUCCUCUGAGAGAUUACCAUCCUUGGCCAAGCAUACCAGUUGGCUCAAGAUGUUGAUAGUUUCUUACGGAUCCCUGUAGUGAGGCGUACCGACCCUCAACCUAUGGCCCUAGGAGCUCGACCUAAUCAAAAUUAUCUCCCGCAACCCAGACAGAUUUCCAAUCCUCCUAACCAGCCUGGUCCUAGCCAAGCACCGACUAGGACAUCCCCGAUGCCUGUCCAGAACCCUUCAAGUGAUAAAGGAAAAGGCAUACUAGGUCCCAACCCUCCCUCUAGAAGCCAAAUCCAAUGUUUUAGGUGCCAAAAAUUUAGCUAUAUAGCAUCCCAAUGUAAUGCCAAGACCUACCUAAUGACUGAACUAGAAGUUGGGACCCAAGAGAAUGAAUGUGUCGAAGAAGUCUACGAGCCAAACAUUGAGGAUUUUGUAGAAGAUUUUGAAGACGAACAGACCGGGUUAGAGUUUAUCCAGGCUGAACCCCAAAAGAAGCCCACUGAUCUAAAUAACCAAAAUCCUAGGCUUCAUGUGGUUAGGUGUACUCUAGCUCAGACUAAGAUCGAACAAGAUUGGCGUAGGACCUUCCUGUUUUACACGCUUAUUAAGAUCAAUGGUAAAAUGUGCAAAAUCCUAUUUGAUAGCGGAAAUCACAUCAACGCUAUUGCUUCCGAAGUUGUCUCCCACCUCGGCCUGAAAUCUACCCCUCAUCCCAACCUAUAUAAGGUAGCUUGGGUAAAUAAGACAUCUAUUUCGGUAUCGGAAAGAUGCCUUGUCUCGAUUCAAUUCCUAUUUUAUAAAGACGAAAUCUGAUGUGACUGCAUUCCGAUGGACGUAGGUCAAGUCAUCCUAGGAAGACCUUGGCUAUACGAUAUGGACGUCACACUUCAUGGACGUUCGAAUUCGUGUAGCUUUAUGUUCCAGGGUCGGAAAAUUAUACUGAACUCAUUGCCUCCUAGAGAGCCCGCCUCUGAAAAGAAGAGUGCCACUCUACGAAAAGAUGAAUCACUUCACAUCAUCACUUCGAAAGAGAUAAUGAAGGAUAUCAAAAGCCAAUCACCUAUGUUUGCCCUUGUGGCUAGAGUCAUCAAUGUGUUGUCGAACCUUGAGCACCCACCGGUAGUUGUUCUCCUAUUGGAGGAGUUUCAUUCUGUUUUCCCUGAGGAUCUUCCAGAUACACUUCCUCCGAUGCGUGACAUCCAGCACGCAAUUGAUCUCGUUUCCGGAGCAUCCCUACCCAAUCUUUUCCAUCAUAAAUUCAACCCAAACGAGCACACUGAACUGAAACGUCAAGUUGACGAACUCCUUAUCCGAGUGUAUGUUCGUGAGAGCCUGAGCCCCUGUGAUGUACGUGCACUCCUCACUCCCAAGAAAGAUGGUUCUUGGAGAAUGUGCGUCGAUAGCCGUGCCAUCAAUAAAAUCACAGUUAAGUAUGAUUUUUUCAUUCCUAGGCUGGACGACCUCUUAGACUUUAUGUCUAGUGCUACAGUCUUUUCCAAGAUCGACCUGAAGAAGUGGAUACUACCAGAUUCGGAUUCGUCCUGGGGAUGAAUGGAAAACUGCCUUUAAGACCAAAGAUGGACUCUACGAAUGGUUAGUUAUGCCGUUCAGAUUAAUAAAUGCUCCUAAUACUUUUAUGAGGGUGAUAACGCAGAUUUUUCGACCUUUCUUGAAUAAAUUUGUCGUUGUGUAUUUUGAUGACAUCCUCAUAUAUAGUCAAACUCAGGAGCUCCAUCUCUCACACUUAAGGCAAGUCUGUGAUGUCCUUAGGAGAGAAGUUCUUUCGCAAACCCCCAAAAGUGUGCCUUCCUAACCGAUCACGUCGCUUUCNNNNNNNNNNNNNNNNNNNNAUGCCGUUCAGAUUAAUAAAUGCUCCUAAUACUUUUAUGAGGGUGAUAACGCAGAUUUUUCGACCUUUCUUGAAUAAAUUUGUCGUUGUGUAUUUUGAUGACAUCCUCAUAUAUAGUCAAACUCAGGAGCUCCAUCUCUCACACUUAAGGCAAGUCUGUGAUGUCCUUAGGAGAGAAGUUCUUUGCAAACCCCAAAAAGUGUGCCUUCCUAACCGAUCACGUCGCUUUCUUAGGGUUCAUAGUGUCUUCUAAGGGUGUUUCCGCUGAUCCGAAAAAAGUAAGCGCGAUAGUCGAUUGUCCUGAGGCCAAGACCCUAGCAGAAGUACGUAGUUUUCAUGGCUUCGCUACUUUCUAUCGCCGCUUCAUUAGGAAUUUUAGUUCAAUAAUGUCUCCCAUUACGGAUUGCAUGAAGAAAGGAGACUUUAUCUGGACUAAAUCGGCAUCCCAAGCAUUUAAUGAAAUAAAGAAAAGGAUGACCGAAGCUCCUGUUUUGCGCCUUCCUGAUUUCACAAAGGUAUUCGAAGUCGUAUGUGAUGCCUCUGGCGUUGGCAUAGGUGGCGUGUUAAGCCAAGAAGGUCAUCCUGUCGCAUUCUUUAGCGAAAAAUUAAGCGAUGGCAGGUUGCGUUAUUCUACCUAUGAUAAAGAAUUCUAUGCGGUAAUCCAAACUUUGCAACAUUGGUGACACUAUUUGCUACCGCAAGAAUUUGUAUUAUAUUCAGACCGUAAGGCUUUAAAGUAUCUCAACUUUCAAAAGAAACUGAACAUUGACAUGGCCAAUGAAUCGAGUUUCUUCAAGCCUAUACUUUUGUCCUGAAACAUAAAGCCGGAGUUGAGAAUAAGGUUGUUAAUGCGCUCAGUCGACAGAUCUUCCUAUCCGUAAUGAGCACUGAAGUAAUUGGUUUUGAAAGGAUCAGGGAACAAUAUACCACUUAUCCUAACUUUAGUGAAGUAUAUCUUAUCCUACGAGAUGGAGUAGAGAGAGAACAAAAUGAUUUCUUCCUACAAAAUAAUUACCUCUUUCGCUCCGAUCGAUUGUGUAUCCCUCGAACCUCAUUGAGAGAUUUCCUAGUAUGGAAAAUACAUGCUGGAGGACUGUCUGGGCAUUUCGGAAGAGACAAGACCAUUGAAAUGGUGGAGAGACGUUUCUUCUAGCCGAGUCUCAAGAGAGAUGUGACCAAAAUUAUUGGUCAAUAGGUUCUUAGGCAUGAGUCCUUUGAAGUGAUGAACGGUUAUAAACCUAAGCAGCCCAUAGAUUUGAUUUCCAUGUCUCAUCAACAUAGUCUCUGAGUCUGCACAAUCAUUUGCAUCACACCUGCAUUCAUUGCAUCAGAAAAUCAGCAAACGUAUUCACUCUAAUAACUUAAAGUAUAAAUUUCUUGCUGAUUUGUACAGACGUUAUAAAGAGUUGAAUGUAGGAGAUUACAUCAUGGUGAGAAUUAAACCUGAACGAUUUUCUUCGAAAACAUUCAAAAAGUUGCAAGCUCGUAGUGCGGGACCGUUCAAAGUCCUGAAGAAAAUCAGUUUGAAUGCUUAUGCCGUAAAUCUUCCUAAAGACUAUGGAAUUAGUGUGACAUUUAAUAUUGAAGAUUUAGUCCCAUACAAAAAGACAACAUUCAUUCCUUCUGAUCCUUUUGUUGAUACACCCGUCUUUGUUGAUCACCUUGACCCAUCACCUGCUAUUGAGCCUCCACCUCCAAAAUUUCAUGCACGCAGAGAACACAUAGAACAUAUAUUAGAUGAGCAGGUUAUAUCUACCAGGAGAGAAAGUUACCGACGUUACCUUAUUCGGUGGAAAGGUCGAUCCGAAUCAGAUGUGACGUAGAUUUCGCGAGCCAAGUUGCAGCGCCUUAACUCUGACCUUCUGGAGCAGUACGACAGCCGGCCAGACCUGCACUCGACGGAGUCGAGCUUUUUCCACCCGGAAGAAGUUGAUGGGGACAACAGAGCUGAUCAUCCGCCUGUCUAGUCCCCCAUUUUUAUUAGCAUUUUAAGUUAUUUCUAGGCUUGUUUGCAUUUUGUUUUUAUGUAGGGAUUUAUUUGUGUUAUUUUAGGGCUUUAUUAGGAAUUAUUUUUUGUGUAAGGGGUUUGUGUUAAUUAUUCUUGUUUGGGCCCUAUAUAUAGGGGACUUUUAUCAUGAUUAGGGUUUCAAUGAAGUGAAUUAAAAAUUCUUCUCCCACGUCUCUUCUCCUUUCUCUUUUCCCUCUCCUCUUCCUCCCUUCUUCCCCCCUUCUCCUUCUUCUUUCCCCCUUCCUCUCUUCUUCUCCUUUCUUCCUUCCCCUUUCUCCUAUUUUCUCUGACCUGUCGCCACAGCAACCGUUCACGCCUCAGUUUUGCCUCAACUUGUCACCACAGCAACCGUACACGCCUCAGUUCUGCAUCAACUAGGCGCCACAGCACCCCUUUCUCGUCUCGGUUCGUC